AGUGUACAAUAUUAAAAAUGCUAGGGAGGGCUUGGAAGGAUACGAGGAACAGGUUGUACCAUGAAUAUUACAAAUCAGAAUUGACUAUUGAAUAAAAUAUUGAAGGCCGCCCAUCGGGAAUUAUUGCAGAGCAUUGGAGAUGGUAUCUUGAUUAUCGCUAUAGUGAAGACACAAAGAAGAAGUGUAGGAAAAAUGCUGUGAAUCGAUCGAAGCAGUUAUAUACUCACACUGGCGGAUCGAAAAGCUUGGCAAGGUUCGUAGAAGAAGAGUUGGAACGACAAGGGCGUCCAGUUGGUAGAGGGGAGUUGUUGACCUUAACGCACAAACGACCUAAUGGCUCCUAUCUCCAUGAUGUAGCUCGGGCUAUUGGUGUAAGAAAGAAUUGUGGAGAUUGAGCAACAUGAUGAAUCAUGUAGACUGU
Molecule: non-coding RNA, 421 nt
Organism: Arachis ipaensis
Lineage: Eukaryota; Viridiplantae; Streptophyta; Magnoliopsida; Fabales; Fabaceae
Source: RefSeq, a predicted model, not a curated record